RNAcentral lists this ribosomal RNA (445 nucleotides) under uncultured bacterium. RNAcentral describes it as "bacterial SSU rRNA". It matches the Rfam family "Bacterial small subunit ribosomal RNA", at positions 958 to 1400 of the family's 1533-position model. The record is from RNAcentral.
AACGCGAAGAACCUUACCAGGAUUCGACAUGCCCUCUAUGGAUUCCCGAAAAGGAAUCCUUCACUUCGGGUGGGAGGAGCACAGGUGCUGCAUGGCUGUCGUCAGCUCGUGUCGUGAGAUGUUGGGUUAAGUCCCGCAACGAGCGCAACCCUCGUCUUCUGUUGCUAACAGGUUAGGCUGAGCACUCUGAAGAAACUGCCGGUGAUAAGCCGGAGGAAGGUGGGGAUGACGUCAAGUCCUCAUGGCCCUUACAUCCUGGGCUACACACGUGUUACAAUGGUGGUGACAAUGAGCAGCGAUCCCGCAAGGGCUAGCCAAUCUCAAAAAGCCACCUCAGUUCGGAUUGUACUCUGCAACUCGAGUACAUGAAGCUGGAAUCGCUAGUAAUCGCGGAUCAGCACGCCGCGGUGAAUACGUUCCCGGGCCUUGUACACACCGGUAUCUC